GACGAACGCUGGCGGCGUGCUUAACACAUGCAAGUCGAACGGUGACGAGGAGCUUGCUCCUCUGAUCAGUGGCGAACGGGUGAGUAACACGUGAGCAACCUGCCCCAGACUCUGGGAUAACAGUUGGAAACAGCUGCUAAUACCGGAUACGAGACGGAGAGGCAUCUCUACCGUCUGGAAAGUUUUUCGGUCUGGGAUGGACUCGCGGCCUAUCAGCUAGUUGGUGAGGUAAUGGCUCACCAAGGCGACGACGGGUAGCCGGCCUGAGAGGGCGACCGGCCACACUGGGACUGAGACACGGCCCAGACUCCUACGGGAGGCAGCAGUGGGGAAUAUUGCACAAUGGGCGAAAGCCUGAUGCAGCCAUUCCGCGUGAGUGAAGAAGGCCUUCGGGUUGGUAAAGGUACUCUUUCGGUACGGUAAAGGAAAGUACGCCCGGGUAAACGUAAUACCGGGUGGAGUGACGGU
Molecule: ribosomal RNA, 468 nt
Filed under: uncultured bacterium
Lineage: Bacteria
Description: bacterial SSU rRNA
Rfam family: Bacterial small subunit ribosomal RNA
Source: RNAcentral